GACGAACGCUGGCGGCGUGCUUAACACAUGCAAGUCGAGCGGUAAGGCCCUUUCGGGGGGUACACGAGCGGCGAACGGGUGAGUAACACGUGGGUGACCUGCCCUCAGCUCUGGGAUAAGCCCGGGAAACUGGGUCUAAUACUGGAUAUGACUCCAUGACGCAUGUUGUGGGGGUGGAAAGCCUUGUGCGGCUGAGGAUGGGCCCGCGGCCUAUCAGCUUGUUGGUGGGGNGAUGGCCUACCAAGGCGACGACGGAUAGCCGGCCUGAGAGGGUGAUCGGCCACACUGGGACUGAGACACGGCCCAGACUCCUACGGGAGGCAGCAGUGGGGAAUCCUGCGCAA
This 344-nucleotide ribosomal RNA is filed under the name uncultured bacterium. RNAcentral's name for it is "bacterial SSU rRNA". It matches the Rfam family "Bacterial small subunit ribosomal RNA", at positions 28 to 371 of the family's 1533-position model. The record is from RNAcentral.